Molecule: unclassified non-coding RNA, 512 nt
Filed under: Hevea brasiliensis (rubber tree)
Lineage: Eukaryota; Viridiplantae; Streptophyta; Magnoliopsida; Malpighiales; Euphorbiaceae
Source: RNAcentral
CAGUGAGUCUCAUUUAUAGCAUUUCACAGUAGACAGCUAAAUAUCGUUUUCAGGAACUUAAUAUUUCUUAUAUGGUAUUAUAGCAUCCAAAAGCAAAUAUAUAAUAGUUUAAACAUUAUCACUAAAUUAAAAUAAGAAACAAGAAUUAGUGAAACAUGGGCUUACACAAUAUAGCCAUUUAGGGCAAAAUGACACAAUAAAUUGCAAGUGCAGUAAGCCUAUUGAACUAAUAAUUAUCCCAUAUGUGCAGGUUUAUCAUUUUAUGAUGCAGUUGAAUGCUUCAAAACAGUAUGGUUGAAAUGCCCAAAAAGGCUUCAUCAUACAAGAAACUACAUUACAACUUCAAGCACCUUAAGAAACAACUAGAUUAUAACCUUGGACUUUAGCAUGCAAAUAUAUGUGAGCAUUAACAAUAAAAGGAUCUCAUUUUAAUUUUAAUAAGCCUAACAUCACUUUUUAUCAAUGUCAUGAUCAGAAAGGUGGGGUGUCCCAAUUAACUUAUAGCAAAAUCG